GAAAUGCGAUAAGUAAUGUGAAUUGCAGAAUUCCGUGAAUCAUCGAAUCUUUGAACGCACAUUGCGCUUUCUGGUAUUCCGGAGAGCAUGCCUGUUUGAGUAUCAGUACACAAACUCACAAAAGGAGAUUUUUGUAGUUUCCGAUUGUGGAUUUUGGGCUUGUCACUAGCGAGAAGGGUUUUUCCUUUUCCUAGCGUAGCCUGAAAAAGAAAUUGGCCACCAGUAAGUUGUAGUAAACUUGGCUAAAGCGUGAUAAGUCUUUAUCGGGCAUUUCUCGCUGAUACCGUCAAAGCUUUGCAAAACCCUGGGUGCUGCCAGUGUAUUGGAACAAAAAACGUUGGGUGAAUAUUUUACCCUUCGUGAUCUUGAUCUCAAAUCAGGUAAGAAUACCCGCUGAACU
RNAcentral lists this unclassified non-coding RNA (400 nucleotides) under uncultured fungus. RNAcentral describes it as "sequence contains ITS1". The stretch from base 1 to 105 matches the Rfam family "5.8S ribosomal RNA", at positions 50 to 154 of the family's 154-position model. The record is from RNAcentral. Lineage: Eukaryota; Fungi.